GGGACAACAUCUCUUUAAAAACAGGAUGGAAACCACAGUUAAAAUGAAACUCGAAAGUCAGGAAAGCUCUUUGAAAGCUCUGUCCUUCACCUGCAGCCCUUCCAGGUCAGCUCCCCUACCUCCACACAUCUCUGGUUCCAAAAGAGGACAGGACUGAGGGUCUCAGAAGCAACAGACAGAGUCAUGGAUGCAAAUCCCGCCACGGAUGGCAGCCAGGAAUAAAGGCUAUUGUACAGCACCGAGCUGUGUUUCACAGCAAGUCACGAUAAGUAUUUCCUUUCCAAACAUCCAAGUUCCCCAAGCACCGCAAAAGCCAAGAGGAGUUU
This is a long non-coding RNA of Passer domesticus (house sparrow), 326 nucleotides long. RefSeq lists it as uncharacterized. The transcript is spliced from 3 exons. The record is from RefSeq and is a predicted model, not a curated record. NCBI's taxonomy places the organism in Eukaryota, Metazoa, Chordata, Aves, Passeriformes, Passeridae.